This is a long non-coding RNA of Chrysemys picta bellii (western painted turtle), 683 nucleotides long. RefSeq lists it as uncharacterized. The record is from RefSeq and is a predicted model, not a curated record. Lineage: Eukaryota; Metazoa; Chordata; Testudines; Emydidae.
AGCCAGCACACAACAGCAGAGGGCACAAGAGCACCUUACUCGGUGUAACCAGUGUGAGCGCACGGCCUGUCCCAUAAGGGUUCACUUGCAACAACAGGUCCCAGCCUUUCCAAUCCUAUUCCUGCUCCAGGACUCUCAGGUUUUAUUUCCAGGCUCGUAACUUCCCCCUAAAGGACUGGUGGAAAAUACAAUUAGAAACCAGCGAGACGAAGGUCGUGGCUGUGCCCUGCCUGGAAUGCUGAGGCGCUGAGAGAUGGGGGAGGAGAGAGAAGCAGAGAGCGCCAGAGCAGCGCACUCAGCCACACAGAGCUGGGUGUUCAUUUAACAGGACAUGGCGAGCAAAGUAACCCCAGUUCAGCUCCUGAUCCCAGAGCAGGAGGGACCAUGCAAGAUUCAGGUCCCCACAUAGAUACAGACCAAGCCCCCUGUCUGGGAUAAACUUCUCCACAUAUGCUGGGCUGCUGUCAUUCUCCCACCAGAAGGCAGGUUUUCCUGGCCUCCAUCAUUCUUGUUCCUUGUCUCUGAAUCCUCCUGGGAGCUUCCUGUAACUGGGCAGGCCAGGGAGGGCCGAGAGUUCAGUCCAGCCACGCAGGCCUGUCCCUAGCCCGGCCGGCUGGGGCCAGUGGGUGGGGCUGUGCUAGCGCCCAUGUUGUUCUUUCAUUAAAAACCACCAGAUGGAUAAA